AACGCACCUUGCACUCUUUGGUAUUCCGAAGAGUAUGUCUGUUUGAGUGUCAUGAAACUCUCAACCCCCUUGUUUUGUAACGAAACGAGUGUGGGCUUGGAUUAUGGCUGUUGCCGGCGUAAUUGUCGGCUCGGCUGAAAUACACGAGCUACCCAUUUCUUAGAAAUAGACGGUUUGACUCGGCGUAAUAAUAUAUUUCGCUGAGGACGUCACAUUCUUAAUAUUAGUGGUGCUUCUAAUGCGACAUCUAAAUCUUUAAGCUUUAGACCUCAAAUCAGUCAGGACUACCCGCUGAACUUAA
Molecule: unclassified non-coding RNA, 301 nt
Filed under: uncultured Sakaguchia
Lineage: Eukaryota; Fungi; Basidiomycota; Cystobasidiomycetes; Erythrobasidiales; Erythrobasidiaceae
Description: sequence contains ITS2
Rfam family: 5.8S ribosomal RNA (bases 1-52)
Source: RNAcentral